Molecule: ribosomal RNA, 433 nt
Filed under: uncultured bacterium
Lineage: Bacteria
Description: partial 16S ribosomal RNA
Rfam family: Bacterial small subunit ribosomal RNA
Source: RNAcentral
AACGAACGCUGGCGGCAUGCCUAACACAUGCAAGUCGAACGAGACCUUCGGGUCUAGUGGCGCACGGGUGCGUAACGCGUGGGAACCUGCCCUUAGGUUCGGAAUAACUCCCCGAAAGGGGUGCUAAUACCGGAUAAUGUCUUCGGACCAAAGAUUUAUCGCCUUUGGAUGGGCCCGCGUUGGAUUAGCUAGUUGGUAGGGUAAAAGCCUACCAAGGCGACGAUCCAUAGCUGGUCUGAGAGGAUGAUCAGCCACACUGGGACUGAGACACGGCCCAGACUCCUACGGAAGGCAGCAGUGGGGGAUAUUGGACAAUGGGCGAAGGCCUGAUCCAGCAAUGCCGCGUGAGUGAUGAAGGCCGUGGGGUUGUAAAGCUCUUUUACCCGGGAUGAUAAUGACAGUACCGGGAGAAUAAGCUCCGGCUAACUCCGUG